GUAUAGCUCAGUGGUAAGUGUGCGUGCUUAGCACGCACGAGGUCCUGGGUUCAAUCCUCAGUAC
This 64-nucleotide transfer RNA is filed under the name Camelus bactrianus (Bactrian camel). It matches the Rfam family "tRNA", at positions 5 to 66 of the family's 71-position model. From Rfam's summary of the family: Transfer RNA (tRNA) molecules are approximately 80 nucleotides in length. Their secondary structure includes four short double-helical elements and three loops (D, anti-codon, and T loops). RNAcentral also lists the same sequence under 1 other name. Lineage: Eukaryota; Metazoa; Chordata; Mammalia; Artiodactyla; Camelidae. The record is from Rfam by way of RNAcentral.